Musa acuminata AAA Group (dessert banana) is the source of this 1553-nucleotide RNA transcript. It is a transcript of the gene named ADP-ribosylation factor 2-B, with no coding region annotated. The record is from RefSeq and is a predicted model, not a curated record. NCBI's taxonomy places the organism in Eukaryota, Viridiplantae, Streptophyta, Magnoliopsida, Zingiberales, Musaceae. The transcript has 8 exons.
UCCCCUCUCCAGCCUCCUUCCGCGGACGAAGAUGUUGGAGAGAAAGAGGAAGAGGAAGAAGAAGAGAUGGCGACUCUUUGUGGAUAUCAAGAUCGGGAAGAAUGGGGCUUAGUUUCGCGAAGCUAUUCAGCCGCCUCUUUGCGAAGAAGGAGAUGCGGAUCCUGAUGGUGGGGCUUGAUGCCGCCGGUAAGACGACCAUCUUAUACAAGCUCAAGCUCGGGGAGAUCGUCACCACCAUACCCACCAUCGGGUUUAACGUUGAGACUGUAGAGUAUAAAAAUAUUAGCUUCACCGUAUGGGAUGUUGGUGGUCAGGAUAAGAUCAGACCUUUAUGGAGGCAUUACUUCCAGAACACCCAGGGUCUUGUUGUUGACAGCAAUGGCAGAGAUCGUGUGGCUGAAGCAAGGGAUGAGCUUCAAAGGAUGCUUAAUGAGGAUGAGUUGCGUGAUGCUGUCUUGCUCGUGUUCGCGAACAAACAAGACCUCCCAAAUGCUAUGAAUGCUGCUGAAAUUACUGACAAGCUUGGUCUGCAUUCCCUGCGUCAACGGCAUUGGUACAUACAGAGCACCUGUGCUACACGACUGGUGAGGGUUUAUACGAGGGGCUAGAUUGACUUUCCAGCAACAUAGCUAACAAGUAAAAAGAAACAAAAAGACUUAUCGGAGAAGACACAGGGUCGGUCUCACCAAUGCAGCCUAACGUCUCAAGAGCAGCAGCCUUCGUAAGUGCAAGUGAUCUCCCAAUAAUGUGACUGAUGGAUGGGAGCACAGCAGCAUCUUCCACUGUCAAAUCAACAUAACAACAUUAGAAAAAGGGAGAUAUAUUCCUGCUGCUUUUUUCCAAAUGAAAAAGAGGGAUUCUAUCAACUUUGUCAAUCUUCGAUCGCGUGGGCAUAUGCUUCGAUGACUGUUCAAGAGAACAAAUGAGGAAAUGAUCAGCAGUCGAUACAACAUUCCGAGAGAAUGAUUGCAGUGCAAACGAUAUGCUCCUUAAUGACCCACAGAUAUGGCAAUUCUCAUGAUGACAGGUCAUUUCUGCUGCUCAUGCCAAGUGAAUCAUAUCCCAUCUUACCUAUUAACAGUGUCAGACUUGAUGAAAUCCUGCCUGGCCUGAUUAAUAAUUGGCAAUAGGCAGUAGCAGAUUGUGUACUGCACAACAUACAUAAAGCGAGACUAAGGUAUAAAUGCAUGCAUGGCCUUUGAUGUUCCUUAUAUGACAUGGUUUUGUUGGAGUUGGCAGUAUGGAUACGUCUGAUAUAGAAAAAAAAGUCGAUGAAGUUGCCAAUCGAUUUAUGUAUGUUUUGCUGAAUGUUACGAAGAGUGUCUCCAUGUGAAAAGAAACAUGGAACAACAUUACAGGAUGAUGGUUGACCGCAACACGUCGAGAUCCAGAAUAAUUCCUAAUUAUGUUCUUGUCCUGCAUUUGCUUGCAAGAAGAUGUCGAUAAUGAUAGUGAGAACGUCUUGAUAUAUGUCAAGACAAACAAACAUGAUAUGAAACCUGAUAAUAGUGACAAAAACAAUAAAGUUAAAGUUAUUUCAUUUCUACAAUAAA